ACCAGACUCCUACGGGAGGCAGCAGUGGGGAAUAUUGGGCAAUGGAGGAAACUCUUACCCAGCAAUGCCGCGUGAAUGAAGAAGGUCUUCGGAUUGUAAAGUUCUUUAAUUGGGGACGAAAAAAAUGACGGUACCCGACGAAGAAGCACCGGCUAAAUACGUGCCAGCAGCCGCGGUAAUACGUAUGGUGCGAGCGUUGUCCGGAUUUACUGGGCGUGAAGGGGGCGCAGGCGGCGCGCCAAGCCCGAUGUGAAAGCCCGGGGCUCAACCCCGGGACUGCAUUGGGAACUGGCGUGCUGGAGUGCCGGAGGGGCAGGCGGAAUUCCUGGUGUAGCGGUGAAAUGCGUAGAUAUCAGGAGGAACACCGGUGGCGAAGGCGGCCUGCUAGACGGAUACUGACGCUGAGGCCCGAAAGCGUGGGGAGCGAACAGGAUUAGAUACCCUAGUA
This 448-nucleotide ribosomal RNA is filed under the name uncultured bacterium. RNAcentral describes it as "bacterial SSU rRNA". It matches the Rfam family "Bacterial small subunit ribosomal RNA", at positions 330 to 792 of the family's 1533-position model. The record is from RNAcentral.